UACAGAGGUCUCAAGCGUUGUUCGGAUUCAUUGGGCGUAAAGGGUGUGUAGGUGGCGCGCUAAGUCGGGUGUGAAAUUUCGGAGCUUAACUCCGAAACUGCAUUCGAUACUGGCGUGCUUGAGGACUGGAGAGGAGACUGGAAUUCCCGGUGUAGCGGUGAAAUGCGUAGAGAUCGGGAGGAACACCAGCGGCGAAGGCGGCAUCCUGGACUGGUCCUGACACUCAUGAGCGAAAGCGUGGGGAGCGAUCCGG
RNAcentral lists this ribosomal RNA (253 nucleotides) under uncultured bacterium. Its description in RNAcentral is "partial 16S ribosomal RNA". It matches the Rfam family "Bacterial small subunit ribosomal RNA", at positions 524 to 776 of the family's 1533-position model. The record is from RNAcentral.